AGAAGGAAAGCACCUCCCUCAUCGGCCAGAUUAGAUGCCGAUCCGAAUCAAGCCCAAAACAAAUGAACAAUAAUAAUAACAACGACAACAACAACAACAACAAUAACAAUAAUAAUGUGGAGGACAACUGAUGCUGUGACCCCCAUAUUUUCAAAUUUCAAAGGAUAUUCUUAACCGAUAGAAGCCCCUUCCUGCCCUACCCCUAUCCUCCCCCAC
Molecule: long non-coding RNA, 216 nt
Filed under: Physcomitrium patens
Lineage: Eukaryota; Viridiplantae; Streptophyta; Bryopsida; Funariales; Funariaceae
Description: long non-coding RNA (PPAT_LNC009299)
Source: RNAcentral